GAACGAUGACGAGUGUGCAGUCGUUCCUGGUCGGAAUAUGCGUUGCGAUACAGACUUCCGUAGCAUAUGAAUACAGCUACAUUGACCAGUUGCGUAUGGCACGCACGCAGGCAGACGGAGGUAACGCGACAGAAAUCUGUCAUCUUCCCAAGGC
Long non-coding RNA from Ornithodoros turicata, 154 nucleotides. RefSeq lists it as uncharacterized. The transcript is spliced from 3 exons. NCBI's taxonomy places the organism in Eukaryota, Metazoa, Arthropoda, Arachnida, Ixodida, Argasidae. The record is from RefSeq and is a predicted model, not a curated record.